Molecule: ribosomal RNA, 424 nt
Filed under: uncultured bacterium
Lineage: Bacteria
Description: partial 16S ribosomal RNA
Rfam family: Bacterial small subunit ribosomal RNA
Source: RNAcentral
AAUUUUGGACAAUGGGCGCAAGCCUGAUCCAGCCAUGCCGCUAGAGUUCAUAAGGCCUUCGGGUUGUAAAGCUCUUUCGGACGGAAAGAAAUUGCGCAGGCUAAUACCCUGCGCGGAUGACGGUACCGCAAUAAGACGUACUGGCUAACUACGUGCCAUCAGCCGCGGUAAUACGUAGGGUGCGAGCGUUAACCGGAAUUACUGGGCGUAAAGCGUGCGUAGGCGGUUGAUUAAGACAGGCGUGAAAUCCCCGGGCUUAACCUGGGAACUGCGCUUGUGACUGGUCAGCUAGAGUACGGCAGAGGGGGGUGGAAUUCCACGUGUAGCAGUGAAAUGCGUAGAGAUGUGGAGGAACACCGAUGGCGAAGGCAGCCCCCUGGGCCGAUACUGACGCUCAUGCACGAAAGCGUGGGUAGCAAACAGG